Manis javanica (Malayan pangolin) is the source of this 5322-nucleotide non-coding RNA. Lineage: Eukaryota; Metazoa; Chordata; Mammalia; Pholidota; Manidae. The record is from RefSeq and is a predicted model, not a curated record.
CACGCAAACCAGCCUCAGAUUAGCAAGUGCACCUCAGUGGGGCUGGUGUCAGAAGCCGGUGGGGAGACGCCGUUGGGAUGUGGCAUGAGGGACUCAGGCAGCUCUUCUGAUCCUGACCCCCCAGGAUGCUGAUGUGAGUGAGGGUGGAGGGUCAUAGGAUCAGCACUUAGGGGACAACAUCCAACAUCGUCUUUCCCAUUUCACAGCUGAGGGAACUGAGGCAGAGGGUAUGCUCAGGAGCCAGGAACCGUGCAGAGCCUGGCAAGCCCUGCCAGGGACUGAAUAGGCAGAGAGGCCUGGGCUGGAAGUGACAGGGAAGGCUGUCUGUGUUUCUGUGGCCCCGGCUGCCCUGUCUCAGUCGUUCGCCCAGAGCAGGGAAGGCAGGCCUGAGGAGGGCCAGACUUCACGGGUCACUUGCUGGAUUUCAUCCUGCUCCACUGGCUUCUUCCUGACGCUGUUCCCCGAGGCCAAGUGACCACUCAAACGGCAUGACCUUUCUCAGCCACUUCUGGAUGCCCCCAGCUGGCAGCAUUCUCUCCCAGGUGAAUGGGUUUGUUUUUCUCUCCCCAUCCUUCAUCCCUGAUCAGGUUUCCAUUCUGCAGAGGUCUCUUCUUGCAGAAAGACAGUUACCCUGAGGGGGCAUCAGAGUCCAUCUGCAGCUCUCCACUUCUCAGAAAUGCAUGUUCCAGCCCCUGGGGCCGAGGGAAGGCCAGAUGUGCCAGUGUCCCACAGCAGAGGUCUGACUUUUGGAAGCCAUUUCUGCCUGCUUUGCCUGACAUGAUCAAGGAGACAGGAGGGCCCAGACAGGGGUUCGAGCCUCUAGUUCCUAAAGGGUUAGCCUUAAAAGUUUCUUUCCUGCCAGAGAAAAAAUAGCAAACAUAAAAACAGACACACUAGACCAAGCACUGGAGGACAACCGGCAGCAGCCCCUGAAGCCGGGCCUUGCACACCUGCCAUUGCCCUGGGCACACAGCGGACGUGCCGGAAGGCCUGUGCCAGGAUGUCUUGGACUCUGAAACAGGGGAGACCCAGGGCCCACCUGUGGGGAUGGAACACUGGUACAUCAUGCAAGCACCAUCAGGCAGUGAGAGUGAGCAGGUUUUGCUGUACACGAGGACACGCACGGGUGUCUCCGGGCACUGUGGGCAGAAGAGGCUGGACUCAAGGGCGUGUGCUCUAUCAUUCCACUUACAUAAAGGUCCCCACCAGGCAAAACCAUGGUGCUGGAGUAGCAGAGGGCAGUGAUGGAGCCUACCAGGGACCAGAAAUAUUCUGAAUCUUGAUCUAAGAGAUGCUUUCAUGAAAUUUCAUCAAUGUGGACGCCUAAGAUGUGUGCAUGUUACUGUAUGUAUGUUGUAUUUCAAUGAAUAGGUUUAUCAAAAAAUAAUGUCCUUCACAGCAGGGCUGCAGCAUGGGGCAUGUCUCUUGUCCUGAGAGGUCCCUAUACCUUCCAAAUUUAUAGGCCUCUCAGGAGCUACAGGCUGACAUGGCAAAAUGACCAUCUGUGUGCUUUCAGAAUUAUUCUGUUGGCCAGAGACACAAAGGAAAUGAAAAGUUAUAUGCAAUUUAUGAAUGUACUGCCUGGGCUGUCUGUUAAGGCCAAGACCUGAAUAUUGAGUCUAUUAUAAGCAAUUAUAAAAAGGAUAGCAUUCCUUAAUGUUUCUCACUUGAUAGGAAGGGUUUUAAAUAUGGGACAUUAGUUAAUAAAAAGUCCCCAGAAGCCUAUUGUAAUAUAUUACCUAAUUCCUAACAGUUCAUAGUCACUGAAAUAGGUAAAAGGGGAAUGUAAAAUUAAUAUAUAGUUAUUAUUAAAAUUGUCUUAUAAAUUAGUUAAGUGCCCUGGAGGUACAGAGUGGGCAUGAUUAUUCUAAGACAGUCUCAAGGGCCAUGGUGCACCCUGUGUAUUUGUGGAAUGGGAAUGCCGUAGCCAGGAGGGGAGCAAGCUCUAGCUCUGUAGUUUUAAGGAUAAAACAUGCUGAAAGAGUUGAGAACUAGCAACCAGACUACAAAAAUUUGAUAAAGAAAUCUCUUCCCUAGUUACUGAAAUUUCUGGGGAGGCCAGUGCUUUGAGGCAUCACCAAGCCUGUUCUUUGCCAGCAUCCAGGAAAGAUAGCUGGAUUCCCAUGGGUUGGAAUUGGUUGGGGGCCACAGACAGGUGUUUGUGUAGCUCCUGGAGACCACCAGUUUCCCAGAACUGAUGGGGCAAAAAUAAUGCCCUGAAAGUGUUUGCUCCCAGCAAACCCUGCUGCAGGGACGCAGUGAAGGUGGGUCUGAGCCGCAUGCCCAGCCACAGCUGCGGGUUGGUACAGCUGAGGGGCCAUGGUGCCUCUGGAGGACAGGUGCAUGUGACUCCGGCAGUGUCAGAGCCACAGGCUCAGGUGGCACGUGCAGGGAGCCACAGCUUCCCACCUUUAUGGAGCAGCAGUACACUUGAUUGGGGGAUUUAGCAGCUGGGAAUGGAAAUCCACUCAAAUGCAAGUCAUUAGCUGAAUGUGAGUUCUCUUUCCAGGAGCUUUGGUGAAUGUCACGUUUUGUGUGUGCUAGGUGAUUUACCUAGUACCUGCUGAAUCUGUUUCCAGUGGCAGGCUUGCUUCCCCUGAUGGCACAGUCUCCUGGGCAGAGAAGCUUUCUUCUCCCAGGGGAGACAGAGAGCUGGGGGUUUUCCCAGCGACAGCACCAGAGGCAAAUUUGCUUUCUGCUUCAGUCCUUCAGAGCUUCACAUUCAGCCGCUUCCUGUCCCUGGCUCCCUCCAUUCCAGCAGGAGCCCAAGCCAUGCGUGUUUUCCUAAGGGGGGUGUGGUCCGUGGAAGGGAGCAAGCUUGCUGUGGGCAGCUAGAGGAAGCAGGUGAGGCUGUUUGCUCACCAAUCUCUGACAUCACCCAGCUCACCCUGCAGGAGGGACACCUUCAAGUGCACACAGAGGUUUUUGCCACAGAAUCUGAUUCCAGCAAAGAGAGAUAAGUGGUCUUUUAAAGCAAGGCUGAGCAGGUACUCAUGUGGCUUGGAUUCUCCUCACACCAUACCAAAGAGCCUUGCCUUGAAUUGUGGUCCUCCCAAGCUAGACAGAAGGUUUUCACAAGGUGCGCCAUGUGGGUGGCAGGUUGUGUGCGCCUGCGACCUCUUGUGGCCGCUCCUCAGAGUCAUCCUGGAUGGUGGCCGUGUGGGUUGUGUCCACUGGUCCCAGCACAUCUGAAAGGCCUUCUGGGGCCAGGGGACUAGGCAGGGACCAGGGGAGCUAGUCUUUAACAAGUAGUUCUUGUUCCUUCCAAAAAAAUGUUUUCAAAGCGAACACAGCUGUCUCUGGGAAAGAUACUGCAUGUGCCAGCAGGAAAUUUAGUCACAAGAUAUGGAAAAAAUCCUGUGCUGCAGAGGUUCACUAACCGUUGUUGCUUUAAGAGACAAACUUCUAGAUCUCUCCAGGGGUACAGGCAGACUUUGAUGUCCUGGGAUCACAAUAGGUGGAACUUACACCUCCUCUUUGAAGUGGAAAUCUCUUCCCCUGGGUGAACUGAGGCACACUGCACCUGUGGGCUCUGCUAUAAUCCGGUCAAGAGUCCUUCACGGGGACAGCUGGGUGUUUUCCAACUUGCCAGUGUGAAGGACACUGCGAUGAUCAGCCUAAUCUAUCCACCAUGUGGGUGUUUAACUGAUAACCUCUUUGGGGUAGAUUCCUGCAAUUGGAAUUGCUGGGGGAAAUUUUGAUGCUCAAAGCCAAACUGCCCUCUAGAAGUUCUUCUUCCUCACAGCAGUGGAUGGUACUAAUGUCUGGUGAAGCACCUCCUACAUGCUUCCUGGGGAUUCUCUCACUGAAUCCCAUGAAGUAAGGAGUGGCAAAUCUGGGCUUUAUAGGGCACAGAGCCAGGAGGUCCUUAAGGAACUGGCCUGAGAUCCACAGUGGACAGAUGGGUCUUAGAAGAGCUAGGUGGCCUCUCCAGAAACUGUGCCCUCAGCCCCUGUGGUGUACACACGCACACACACACACACACACACACACACACACACACCUGUGAGUGCCUGUGUGCUCACUUGGGCCUCAGAGUUAAUCGUAUUGUUAUGAUAAUUCAUCUUUACCAAUCUGAUAAGGGAAAAGUAAAAUCCUUUAUUUGCACUUCUAUGACUACUGGCAAGGUUAAACUUCUCUCACAGAUAUUUCUCGGGCAUUUGUGUCUGUGGCUUAUCUGCCCUUGGCACAAUUUGCUGUUGGGAUUGUGGUUGACUUACUGAUCUACAAGAGCACUUUAUACCAGGACUCAUCAUGUUACUGUUCUAUUUGUCAAAAUAUUGUUCCCUAUUUGAUAUGCAGACAUUUUAAGUAUAAAGAGUCAAGGUGGAUCUUUCCCUGCACAGUUUAUGCUUUUUCCAUAAUUACAAAGGCUUUUUCUAUUACAUCAGUACAAUUUAACUGUUUGUAUCUGUUUUCUUCUAUCUUUAUGAGAUUUAUUUUCUUAAAAAAAUUUUUUUUUAUAAUUAUGAAGUAUUUCAACACUGGUUUGUAUAGUAAAACAUAUCCACACAUCUGUGUGGUUCUAAACUCUUUAAUCUGCCUAAAUACACUGAAGUGCAAUGAGUAAGCAAAGAUUCUGGCAUUUUUGCCCCCCAGGAGUGACUAGUCAGCCCACUGUCUUUGGAAUAAUCUCUUUGCCCUACGGAUUUAAAAUUCUGCCUUUACUGUAUUUUAAAUUCUUAAUGUGUGUUACCAGCAUGGAUAGCCCUUGCAGCAGCAACAAGAGAACCCAAAUCUCAGUGGCUUAGCACAGUGGAAGUUUAUUUGGGGCUUAUGUUACAGCCUGAGGCAGGCCUCGGUGGCUCUCCUCCAGCAGCGGUGGGGCUUGCUUCCAUUGUCUGACUCUGCCCCCUUUGAGAGGGGAAAGGAAAAGCACAGAGAGCUUACCACCUCUUCCAGCCCUGCCUGGAAGCAGCACAGGUCACUUCCAGUCGCACACCUAUUGGUGAGAGUCAGUCACAUCGUCCCAGCCUACCUGCAGGCAGUCUGGGAAAUGUGCCCAGAAAGAGGAAAUGGAGUAGUGAGCGCACAGCUAGGUCUCCCUCCAGGCUUCUCCAACAGAUGAAAUGUAAGGCUGUGUGUAUGUGUGUGUGCACACUUAUGUGCAUGUGUACAAGGCUUGUUUGAUCAUUAAGCAUGUUCAGGCCAGUCGUGCCUGCCACCUAUUACCCUUUCCUCAGAUGUUUACUGAGGACCUACUAUGUGCUCAUCAUAAAGCCCAACCUUGGAUACAGAAUAACAUGGGCCUGCCUCUAGGAAUUCCUUUCAAAACUGGUAGGAAAAAGGGGCAGGCACUGUGGCAUAGCCAUAUGCAAGACU